ACUAGUAAGAGAACAGCGGUUUGGGUUUGUUAGGGCAUUAACAUAACGUGAAAGAAGAACUGGAGAAUAAUUGGAACAGAGGUCAACGAGAUAACAUGUAUUUAUACAGGUGGUUUGGAGUAUUAUUGCAUACAAAUAUAUCUAACAUUAUGUCUGCACGUAUUAUUUCGGGGUUGGCCUUUACGUUGAGUUAGGGGAGUAAUUACUGAGUACGUUUUGUUAGCCGGAGCUACGUUUAAGGAAAAAUAUGAUGCAAAUAAGAACUGAUUAAAUUUAAAAUAUCAGUCUUCUUGUAAAUCCCCGUAGAUAAUCGCCGGAUCGUAGCAUAUAACUUUCCACUAUGAAUUUUAUUAUGUGGGGUGCACCAAAACAAAUUUCUCUCUAUAUAAAUUCUCUUUUAUU
This is a non-coding RNA of Cinara cedri, 402 nucleotides long. NCBI's taxonomy places the organism in Eukaryota, Metazoa, Arthropoda, Insecta, Hemiptera, Aphididae. The record is from the annotation of a GenBank genome assembly.